AUGGCAACCAGCACAGAGGCAGGACUGAUCCCAAACCCAGUGGCUCCUCUUUGGUUAUCCUCUUACUCCUUGCGAAUGCCUCAGUGCACCUGGGAUGUAAGUGCUUGGUGGGAGUUAACUCGCCCCAUCUGGACAACAGCCUGUGUGGUGGGCACCCCUGCGCGCUCUGUUUGAUAAAGCUUCUGAAUCAGAGGUGGACUCAGGAACACGUGGUGUCACUCGUGCCGCAGGGGAUUCUAACGGAAAUCACGCCCUGACUUGUGUGCUUGGCACCCAGAGAAGACGUCAUUUGUUUUAAGAAUAGAAAAGCGAUGCGGCUGCACGUGUCCUCCAGCUGACAGAUCCAAGAGACCCAUGAUCCACUCUCCUGAAGCAGAGGGACCUGGCUCUUUCUCGAAAGUGUAUACAUUCUGAGACUGUUGGUUUACACGAGUUUUUUGUAAACUGUUUCAUUAAUUGUGGUCAUUUCUGAAUUUCUUAAGGCCUCA
This is a long non-coding RNA of Sciurus carolinensis (gray squirrel), 488 nucleotides long. RefSeq lists it as uncharacterized. The record is from RefSeq and is a predicted model, not a curated record. NCBI's taxonomy places the organism in Eukaryota, Metazoa, Chordata, Mammalia, Rodentia, Sciuridae. The transcript is spliced from 4 exons.